Malania oleifera is the source of this 2833-nucleotide long non-coding RNA. RefSeq lists it as uncharacterized. NCBI's taxonomy places the organism in Eukaryota, Viridiplantae, Streptophyta, Magnoliopsida, Santalales, Ximeniaceae. The record is from RefSeq and is a predicted model, not a curated record. The transcript is spliced from 2 exons.
UUCGAUGAAGCCCUCAAUCGGCAAGAUAUACUUGUUCCUUCCAACGACGAAGGAUGUCCAGGACGUAGUUCACGAGACAUAUUCUAAUGCCGAAAGUUACUCCUAAAUCUUUGAGAUUAAGACCUGACUAUGGCAGCUGCGGCAAGGAGAAAAGGGAGGUCGCCGAGUACUUCAUGGAGAUGACCACCCUCUGGCAGUAGCUUGACCUUAGCAUCGAUGAAGAGUGGGAGUGCUCCAGCGACAGCAUACGUUACAAGCGACUCCUUGAGAAUGAGAGGGUGUUCAAGUUUUUGGCAGGUCUCAAUCGCGACCUGGAUGUUGUACGAGGGAGGAUCCUUGGCCAGCGUCCUCGACCUUCGACUCGGGAGGUCUUCGCAGAGGUGCGGCGUAAGGAGAGUCGCCGCAAGGUUGACAAACUUGACGAGAUCUUCACCUCGUCGUCUGUCGGAUACUGGUUGCUACCCUGCUAAUUUCCAUUAGAGCCGGAGGCUUAGCCCUUUACCCUAUGGCAUUUUGUACUGCGCUUGACAACAAAAGUGAACCCAAAUGGCGCAAGAGUCUUUGCAUUGACAGUUAUCGCUACCUUCAAGAAAAUGUUGGGUGGAAAGUUGGGUUUGGAGGCUUGGAGCCCCUGUAAUUCUCAUGGUCUUUUCUGUUCUCAUGUUCUUAGCGGGCGAAUUAAGGUACUACCAUAACAUCAUUAUAAUGUUCUUCUGAAUUGAUCUUCGCCUGCAUAUUUUAGCAGUUUUAAUAAACUAUUUCAGAGCUCGUCCGUAAAAUUCUGAUUUAAAAACUAUUUUAUUCCUAAGCGUCUAACCCUGCGGCUGUUGUUUGUGUUUAACUACUCGCUAGGAUGACAACUGCAAUUGUUUUCCAAGUUGUUUGUAAAAUUCAAUGCUUAAAAGAUUUCCUCUAUGACAACAUAAGUUUUUUAUUUUGUUUUCUCUAACUGCCCGGUCAGAAUGAAAAUAUAUUAGGAAAAUGAAAUGAAAAUAUGGAGGAAUCAAAUUUUCAUGUUUGGUUAAGAAAGACAAUAAAAUAUAUACAACAAACAAAAAUUAGUUUAUUAGUAUCUUGAUUUUUCUUAAAUAUAUGGGAAAUGAAUUUUCUUCUUAUGUUUCUUUCAUUUUAUUUCUCAAAAAAAUCCUUGAUCCAAAAUAGUCCCUUAGGGUUUAAUUGGAACUUAGAAAAUGUGGGGAAAAUCUAUGCUUGAUUAUUAAGAAAAAUAAGAAUGAAUGGAAUCAAAAGAAAGGGUGGUACUGAAUCAGAAUCCCAGAUUUGUCAUGAUAAGCUGGUUGGUGUAGUUUGCAAAGUGCAACUCUUUUGUAGAUGUCUAAACACAGGCUUGCAUCAUUAGAGAUCCUGCUGAGUGAUUUAAAUCCGGAUGGGUCAGCUUGAAACCCAUGGAGUCCUGGAGCAAGUAGAAUCGCUCAAAGCUAUUAUUAGAGUUCUCCCUAUGUGUCUCUUACGAUACAUCUCAGUGGUUAAUCUUUGAGUCUUUCAUGUUAGAGGUUUCAAGUUGAAUUCUAGAAGGGACAGAAAGCAAUAUGGGAUAGGAGAUGGACUAUUGCAGGCUGUGUUGCAUAAGUGCAGCGUACUUGGUAUGCAAAUAUCAUGACGAUGCUCAUUGUGUUAUUAGACUUCUCCCUAUGUGUCUCGUAGGAGGCAUCUCAGUGAUUAAACUUUGAGGCUUUCAUGUUAGAGGUUUCGAGUUGAAUUCUAGAAGGGGCCAAAAGCAACAUGGGAUAGAAGAUGGACUAUUGCAGGUUGUGUUGCAUAAGCGCAGCCUACUUGGUCUGCAAAUAUCAUGACGAUGCUCAUUGCUAUGCUCCAAGCAAACACCAUGAACAGACACGUUACCUGAAAUUUCCAAAUCCUAGCAAGUGGGUCCUUCAAUGUGGUAAUUAUUGCUACCGUUACACUAUGGGUAGCCUUCCAUGACCAUGUAAUGGUGCCCCAGCUGCUCAGGUACACUGGCCGAGACUACUGGCAACCCAAGUUUUUCAAAUGGGAAUUGUGCUAGCACUCUUGUGCAUGGCAAUGGCACUCUCAGAAAUAUCAGAGUGAACAAGAAGGAAAAUUGGAAAUGAAUAAGGAUUGGAGGAUCAACGAAAGUUGCUACGGACAUGUUGGCAAUGAGGUUCAUGUCACUGCAUGGUUUGGCCAAGGCUUUAAAUUAAUGCAGCUAGGCAGAUAGAGUUCUAUUACUAUCAGUUUCUCAGGAGCAUGUCUAGCUUUGCAAUGACUCUUUUCCUACUAGGGAUGGCUAUGUCUAGCUGGGUGGGCUCUUCUGGUGGAUGUUAAUAGAUUUGCAAGGAAAGGAGGUAGGGAGAGCUGGUUGUCAAGCAACAUUAGCAAGGGUCACAUAUAUUACUAUUACUGGCUAAUUAUUGCUCCAAAGUCAAAUUAAUUUUUCGUCCUUUCUUGUCUUUUGUUGGGCUUGUGAGCUUUUACUGGGCGAAAGGAGUAGAGCUUCAGAUGCAGUUGAAGAAGAGUUUCAAGUAUAAAAACUUACCUUUAGCUUGAUGGGUACCUCUGUUCUUUGUUAAUGGUAUGACAAUUGGAGCAUGUAUAACUGAAAACACUAUUGUAAACUUUCCUCUUCCACUUGAUGAGAAAGGAAGUGCUUGCGUGUUUCUCAUUAUCCCUUAUUGGUUUAUGCAAUCAGUUGCAAGGGAAAGUUAAUUACUCUUAAUUUGAUGGUGGAAAUUGCCCACAAUUUUGUAAAUUGGUGGAAAAUGAUCCAUUUAGCUGACUACACCUAGUGGGAUGUAAGGCUUGGUUUGCUGUUUGUUCUUUGCUUUGUGCUGCAAAUUCUCGUUACUUUUAUGCU